This 729-nucleotide ribosomal RNA is filed under the name Microphysogobio yunnanensis. RNAcentral's name for it is "partial small subunit ribosomal RNA". It matches the Rfam family "Bacterial small subunit ribosomal RNA", at positions 513 to 1533 of the family's 1533-position model. The record is from RNAcentral. Lineage: Eukaryota; Metazoa; Chordata; Actinopteri; Cypriniformes; Gobionidae.
CACCGCGGUUAAACGAGAGGCCCCAGUUAAUAGUGUCACGGCGUAAGGGUGGUUAAGGAAAACACAACAAUAAAGCCAAAUGGCCCUUUGGCCGUCAUACGCUUCUAGGUGCCCGAAGCCCAGCCCCACGAAAGUAGCUUUAGUAAAGCCCACCUGACCCCACGAAAGCUGAGAAACAAACUGGGAUUAGAUACCCCACUAUGCUCAGCCAUAAACCUAGACGUCCAACUACAAUUAGACGUCCGCCUGGGUACUACGAGCAUUAGCUUGAAACCCAAAGGACCUGACGGUGCCUUAGACCCCCCUAGAGGAGCCUGUUCUAGAACCGAUAACCCCCGUUAAACCUCACCACUUCUAGCCACCCCAGCCUAUAUACCGCCGUCGUCAGCUUACCCUGUGAAGGCAAUAAAAGUAAGCAAAAUGGGCACAACCCAGAACGUCAGGUCGAGGUGUAGCGCACGAAGCGGGAAGAAAUGGGCUACAUUUUCUAUGAUAGAACACUACGGAUAAUGCAACAUGAAAUAGUGCUUGAAGGAGGAUUUAGUAGUAAAGAGGAAGCAGAGUGUCCUUUUGAACCCGGCUCUGAGGCGCGUACACACCGCCCGUCACUCUCCCCUGUCAAAACGCAACAAAGAUACAUAACAAUAAAGCACUGACAAGGGGAGGCAAGUCGUAACAUGGUAAGUGUACCGGAAGGUGCACUUGGAUUAAAUUCAGGGCGUGGCUGAG